RNAcentral lists this ribosomal RNA (253 nucleotides) under uncultured bacterium. Its description in RNAcentral is "partial 16S ribosomal RNA". It matches the Rfam family "Bacterial small subunit ribosomal RNA", at positions 524 to 776 of the family's 1533-position model. The record is from RNAcentral.
CACGUAGGGCGCAAGCGUUGUCCGGAAUUAUUGGGCGUAAAGAGCUCGUAGGCGGUCUGUUACGUCUGCUGUGAAAACCCGGGGCUUAACCCUGGGCUUGCAGUGGGUACGGGCAGACUAGAGUGUGGUAGGGGAGACUGGAAUUCCUGGUGUAGCGGUGAAAUGCGCAGAUAUCAGGAGGAACACCGAUGGCGAAGGCAGGUCUCUGGGCCACUACUGACGCUGAGAAGCGAAAGCAUGGGGAGCGAACAGG